This 495-nucleotide ribosomal RNA is filed under the name uncultured bacterium. Its description in RNAcentral is "bacterial SSU rRNA". It matches the Rfam family "Bacterial small subunit ribosomal RNA", at positions 1 to 497 of the family's 1533-position model. The record is from RNAcentral.
CCGUAGAGUUUGAUCCAUGGCUCAGGAUGAACGCUAGCGGCAGGCCUAAUACAUGCAAGUCGAACGGGAUCUAGAAGCUUGCUUUUAGUGAGAGUGGCGCACGGGUGCGUAACGCGUAUGCAACCUACCUUAUACAGGGGGAUAGCCCGGGGAAACUCGGAUUAAUACCCCAUGGUACAUUUGGAUGGCAUCAUUUAAAUGUUAAAGAUUUAUCGGUAUAAGAUGGGCAUGCGUAGGAUUAGCUAGUUGGUAAGGUAACGGCUUACCAAGGCAACGAUCCUUAGGGGUUCUGAGAGGAAGGUCCCCCACACUGGUACUGAGAUACGGACCAGACUCCUACGGGAGGCAGCAGUAGGGAAUAUUGGGCAAUGGUCGGAAGACUGACCCAGCCAUGCCGCGUGCAGGAAGACGGCCUUAUGGGUUGUAAACUGCUUUUAUCAGGGAAGAAAAAGGUCAUGCGUGACAAAUGGCCGUACCUGAUGAAUAAGCACCGUA